Corylus avellana is the source of this 466-nucleotide non-coding RNA. Lineage: Eukaryota; Viridiplantae; Streptophyta; Magnoliopsida; Fagales; Betulaceae. The record is from RefSeq and is a predicted model, not a curated record.
CCAAUUUUCCACCUCCUUUCUCUGCAAUGCUGGUCUGAAGGGAUCGAGCGGGACAAUAUAGUCAGUCAGAGGUUUUCUUUGAAAUCCACAUUCUGUAAAUGUUUGCUUUCUCAACCUCAAAGCACUAUGUUGUCAAUCCACCACUUCUGCUCUUGUCUGAGUUUGAACUUCAAGAUUACUAUGCGAUAAUUAGAGCCUCAAGAGCCUGAAACUCAAUUGAAAUAUUUUUAUGAUGCAGUUGAUCGCACGGUCGGACACAACUAACAGAUGCCUGCAAAUGGUGGAAAACAAUUUAGUAGCUUGUCGGGAAAACGCUCUGAUGGUUAGUUAGCAAAGAGAGUUGGGAGUUGGAGUAGAUUUGGAAAUUUGUAUAUGAGAGAAUGGUUGAAUGGUACCAGGGCCGGCUCAAUGAAUUUAGAGGCCUUAGGCCAAAUUUUGAGAUGAGGCCUUAUUAUUUUUUUGUAAG